Long non-coding RNA from Scylla paramamosain (green mud crab), 659 nucleotides. RefSeq lists it as uncharacterized. NCBI's taxonomy places the organism in Eukaryota, Metazoa, Arthropoda, Malacostraca, Decapoda, Portunidae. The record is from RefSeq and is a predicted model, not a curated record. The transcript is spliced from 3 exons.
AAACCAUCAAGACUUAAAAAAAAUUACAUACAAGGUUAAAAUAAUGCAGGAAAUUAAUGAUGAGGUGGCACCUUCUCACCGUCAGGGAGGUGUAUCACUCCGCCAGCAGCAAACUUGACGUCAUGGGCCAGGGCAUGCAGCGGCGUGCAGUGCGUGGGUAUGGUGACUGUGUGGCCUCUGAUGUAGAGGUGUGUGAGCUGCUGGACGAGAGAAGAGCAAACUAAAAGUAAACAUGGGAUUGCUGCCGCCUCAGGACACUAGGAGCAUUGCGGAAGCGCUGAGGAAGACAUCACAACCCUUGACACAGCGAACACAACUCAGUACUGAGGCUGGCACUGGCUUCUCCCAACACCUCACGUGGUCAUUGCAACAAAAGGAGGUGAUCUUGCAACCUCAGGGAAAACAACAUGCAGCAAGUGAGUUGGAAUGGCUAGAACCAGAGGAUGGGGGUGUGCGUCCAGGGAGUUGAGGAGUGCCACUGCUUCAACUGAUGUGUGGGACCCUGAGGCAGAGGGUCCACCAGACUGCAGGAUAUGGGGGCUCCUUUGUCACAGAAUAUAUCAACGAGGUGGAAAGCAACCUCUUCAGCAGUUUUCGUCUGUAGAGCCCGAAGACACACCAUCUUCGUCAAGUGAUCCUGGUAGUUCAGAAUGAAACGA